CUGGUCCUACGGGAGGCAGCAGUCGAGAAUCAUUCACAAUGGGGGAAACCCUGAUGUUGCGACGCCGCGUGGGGGAAUGAAGGUCUUCGGAUUGUAAACCCCUGUCAUGUGGGAGCAAAUUAAAAAAAUAGUACCACAAGAGGAAGAGACGGCUAACUCUGUGCCAGCAGCCGCGGUAAUACAGAGGUCUCAAGCGUUGUUCGGAAUCACUGGGCGUAAAGCGUGCGUAGGCUGUUUCGUAAGUCGUGUGUGAAAGGCGCGGGCGCAACCCGCGGACGGCACAUG
RNAcentral lists this ribosomal RNA (285 nucleotides) under uncultured bacterium. RNAcentral's name for it is "partial 16S ribosomal RNA". It matches the Rfam family "Bacterial small subunit ribosomal RNA", at positions 333 to 629 of the family's 1533-position model. The record is from RNAcentral.